CUCCUUGAUAAAAAUUAAGAUAAAAAUUAUAAAUAACAGAAAACAGUGGUGGAAUCUAUGCGAAUAGAUAAUACCUGAUGAUGAGGAACAUAAGGUUCUUGAAAUUUGAGAGAAUAUUGUGGUUCGCGUGUUAUAAAUUGAGGAGGAGGAAUAAGA
This is a long non-coding RNA of Hibiscus syriacus, 156 nucleotides long. RefSeq lists it as uncharacterized. The transcript has 3 exons. Lineage: Eukaryota; Viridiplantae; Streptophyta; Magnoliopsida; Malvales; Malvaceae. The record is from RefSeq and is a predicted model, not a curated record.